CGUGGGUAACCUGCCCAAGAGAUCGGGAUAACACCUGGAAACAGAUGCUAAUACCGGAUAACAACAGAUGAUGCCUAUCAACUGUUUAAAAAGAUGGUUCUGCUAUCACUCUUGGAUGGACCUGCGGUGCAUUAGCUAGUUGGUAGGGUAACGGCCUACCAAGGCGAUGAUGCAUAGCCGACGUUGAGAGACUGAUCGGCACAUUGGGACUGAGACACGGCCCAAACUCCGUACGGGAGGCAGCAGGU
RNAcentral lists this ribosomal RNA (248 nucleotides) under uncultured Lactobacillus sp. Its description in RNAcentral is "partial 16S ribosomal RNA". It matches the Rfam family "Bacterial small subunit ribosomal RNA", at positions 116 to 354 of the family's 1533-position model. The record is from RNAcentral. Lineage: Bacteria; Bacillati; Bacillota; Bacilli; Lactobacillales; Lactobacillaceae.